Molecule: ribosomal RNA, 253 nt
Filed under: uncultured bacterium
Lineage: Bacteria
Description: partial 16S ribosomal RNA
Rfam family: Bacterial small subunit ribosomal RNA
Source: RNAcentral
UACAGAGGGUGCAAGCGUUGUUCGGAAUUAUUGGGCGUAAAGCGCGCGUAGGCGGUGGGUCAAGUCGGGUGUGAAAGCCCUCAGCUCAACUGAGGAAGUGCGCCCGAAACUGAAUCGCUAGAGUGUCGGAGGGGAAGGCGGAAUUCCCGGUGUAGAGGUGAAAUUCGUAGAUAUCGGGAGGAACACCAGUGGCGAAGGCGGCCUUCUGGACGAACACUGACGCUGAGACGCGAAAGCGUGGGUAGCAAACAGG